AGGAACAUGGGAAAAGAUUGCUUAUCAGUAUUUUUCUUUUCAUUUCAGCUCAUCUGUUCUCUUUUCUCAGUUGCUAAGAACGAUAAGAAAACGAAGUCUUCAGGUCACCGACUGAAGCACCGCAUAGAAAUUUCGGCGACUGAGGUUCUGGUGCACGAAAUAAAGGACGAGUAUUUGUGAGAGUGCUUAGGAACUCAAAGACAAGCACACUGUCAGAAAGAAAAUAAUACUGCAGUAUUGAUAUAAAAAUUACCUGUGCCCCCUUAUGACUGCGCUAGCAUGCGGAACUGCUGCUGUCUGCAUUUAUCAACCUUAAAGCGGGAAGGAUCCAGUAAAUUAUACUGAGUACAGAAAAUUAGUUAAAACUUCUUUAAGAUGGUGUUAAUAAAGAGAAAAUGAAUGGCUGAAACAAAUAACUGAAUGAAUUGAAAAGGAGAAAAGGACUUUACCAGAAGAUAUUAAGGAUCUCUCUCUGUAGUUGGGGUGGCCUUGAACUCACUAUGUGGACCAAACUGCCCUCAAACGCAAGGUUAUCCUCCCACCUCAGCUUCCCAAACGCUAGGAUUACAGGUACAUGGGAUCAAACUCAGGACCUUGCUCUUGUGAGGCAGGCACAGUGCCACUGAGCUACAUCCCCAGCCUGAGACCAUCGUUCUGAACCAUCAUCACUUCUGUCAUCCUGUACAUGCAAACCGGUUUCCAGUACCAGUCUGUGCAGCCAAGCAGCCUCAGCACUUUCCAUCAAGGCCACCUCCACCGCACCCGACAGCGUCAUCUCAGGGAAAUUUAGUUCCUGCCCGUCCUGCUCCUGCACCUCCUUUGUAUAGUUCCCUCGCCUGAUUUUAUACUCUUCUUUUUGCACAUAUCUUCAGAGAACCGAGCAAAUGUUUUUACUCCCUGGUGUUUCUCGGGAAGGCCUUUCUUCCUAUUGCAACUAUGAAUGGAAACAAAUUCCACAGAACAAACAAACUGGGGAGUUGAGAAGUACAAGGAAAUGCAGUCAAAUGAGGAAUCCGUUUCCAGCAUUGAAACGUCGUGUUC
Molecule: RNA transcript, 1041 nt
Organism: Fukomys damarensis (Damara mole-rat)
Lineage: Eukaryota; Metazoa; Chordata; Mammalia; Rodentia; Bathyergidae
Gene name: disintegrin and metalloproteinase domain-containing protein 9-like
Exons: 6
Source: RefSeq, a predicted model, not a curated record